Paramuricea clavata is the source of this 591-nucleotide non-coding RNA. The record is from the annotation of a GenBank genome assembly. Lineage: Eukaryota; Metazoa; Cnidaria; Anthozoa; Malacalcyonacea; Plexauridae.
CUACAGGGUGUAUAAAAAAAAGGAGACCUUUAGAAAUCAACCAUAUUGUUAAAAUUUGAAUGCCUUUUCAAUUGCACAUAUGUGUAUACUGUACAGGGUGUCCCAAAAAAACCCGAAAACUAUUGAAAUCACGUAUUGUUAAAUUUGAAUGCCCUACCAAACAGCUGGACGUAGUGAUGCGUAAAAUAUUGACAAGGCGCAUGUAUUAGAAUUUAGUUAGGAAUAUCUCCUGGCAAAGUGCGCGAUUUUCUGCUCCUGGGAAUUAAAAACAGCUUCUUAAACAGUUUCUUUAUGCAUAAAAUUUACUUAUGUCAAUCAUUUAUGCACUCGUGGGAACCAACAGAGCGCUAAGGCAUUCAAAUUCUAACAAUUAAAUUGUUAUUGGUGAUUUCAAUAGUUUUCGGGUUUUUUGGGACACCCUGUACAGGGUGUCUCAAAAAAACCCAAAAUCAUUGAAAUUGACGUAUUGUUCGAUAUUCAAUGCCCCAGCACUAAGUUAAUCCCACGAGUGCAUAAAAGAUUGACAUAACUGCUAUAAUGAAUGGUAAUACUCAGCGUAAACUUGUUAUGUCAGGCAUAAAGUACUCAACC